This 253-nucleotide ribosomal RNA is filed under the name uncultured bacterium. RNAcentral's name for it is "partial 16S ribosomal RNA". It matches the Rfam family "Bacterial small subunit ribosomal RNA", at positions 524 to 776 of the family's 1533-position model. The record is from RNAcentral.
UACGGGGGGGGCAAGCGUUGUUCGGAAUUACUGGGCGUAAAGGGCUCGUAGGCGGCCAACUAAGUCAGACGUGAAAUCCCUCGGCUUAACCGGGGAACUGCGUCUGAUACUGGAUGGCUUGAGUUCGGGAGAGGGAUGUGGAAUUCCAGGUGUAGCGGUGAAAUGCGUAGAUAUCUGGAGGAACACCGGUGGCGAAGGCGGCAUCCUGGACCGACACUGACGCUGAUGAGCGAAAGCCAGGGGAGCAAACAGG